UUGUGCGCGCCGUGUUAAACGAAGCUAAUUAAAAACGGGCAAAUAUAUUAAAACAUAAAAAACGAUCACAAGCUAAAAGUCGUUAGUACGUGUGAUAGUUACUAAGAAAAAGUACGCUACAAAUUCGACUCGAAGAUUACAAUCACAAAACGAGAAACAAAUUAAAACCGAAUAUACAGAAAAAGGUAACAUUUGUGUAAUGUACAAAACCAAGUGUUAGUUCGAUGACACGAGGUGUCAAAAGGUAUUAAAAAAUUGUUUCCAUGCUAAACAGAUUAAAAAUACGUUCAAUAGUACAACGAGGAAAAACAAACAAGUUAAAAUUAUAUCCUGAAGAAAAAGGUAAAAAUAUGUAAAAAUGUAUUAUCAUUAUAUUAUUGUGAAACAUUAUAAAAACCAUGCGGUGAAAGAUGUGACGUAACAAGUGACGUAACUAAUGUAUCUGGUCAGGUCCAGAGGACCUUUUUCUUUUCGUUUAUAACCUCAAUCUCAGGAGCUUCCUCGACGGGUCACGGUUCAAGACGAAACCGAAUCCGCUUUCCGAGGACAGAAAACUGAAUGCCGCUGGUGGACAUAACCCCUAAAAGGUCCGCCAUCUCACAUCAUCACCAUCGAGUUGAUUCUAGCACCAUUCGGGACGCCGAAUUGGGUGUGAAUCUUCUGGUGUAGCUGCCAGUCGGAGGAUCCAGUUUCCCGAACCAGAAUGUUUACAACUCAAACCUAACCAUAAAACCGCAAGUAUGGACCGAAUUGUGACGUCAAGUUUAGGCUCUGUGCAGCCAAUAAAUGUACCACUAAAAGUUUGUAAAACCAAGCCCCCCUGUAUGAGUUUUUUACCACGAAUGAUUUACACCCAUAUUCAGAUCUUUCUACAGUAUUCCAUCGUUCUCUAAAAACAACCCUCUGAAGAGUUCUCGCAUUUUGGUCUUCAAUUAGAUUAGAUUCCACAUACAUCUGACAACGGUUGGUAGCAUGCGAGGUACCACCCGUGAUUUAACAUUUAGCUCGAUUCCCCCAUUUGGACAUCACUGUUUGAGUUCGACUCAAGAGGGAAUAGCCCGUGUUGAAAAAUCCUAUAACGACCCUGAGUUCUAUCCACCCCACCCACUAAUCCAGAAUAAAAACAUACCACCCACCCGCUGAGCAACCGCGAGUUACACUCGCCCCCGCAGAUCAUCGCAUCAGGUUGGCGAAAAGCGUCCUGUGAGGUUCGUGGACUUCAUCGCAGCCAGCCAGCA
This is a long non-coding RNA of Uranotaenia lowii, 1238 nucleotides long. RefSeq lists it as uncharacterized. NCBI's taxonomy places the organism in Eukaryota, Metazoa, Arthropoda, Insecta, Diptera, Culicidae. The record is from RefSeq and is a predicted model, not a curated record. The transcript has 3 exons.